GAUGAACGCUUGCGGGAGGCCUAACACAUGCAAGCCGAGCGGUAUUGUUUCUUCGGAAAUGAGAGAGCGGCGUACGGGUGCGGAACACGUGUGCAACCUGCCUUUAUCUGGGGGAUAGCCUUUCGAAAGGAAGAUUAAUACUCCAUAAUAUAUUGAACGGCAUCGUUUAAUAUUGAAAGCUCCGGCGGAUAGAGAUGGGCACGCGCAAGAUUAGCUAGUUGGUGAGGUAACGGCUCACCAAGGCGAUGAUCUUUAGGGGGCCUGAGAGGGUGAUCCCCCACACUGGUACUGAGACACGGACCAGACUCCUACGGGAGGCAGCAGUGAGGAAUAUUGGUCAAUGGGUGCAAGCCUGAACCAGCCAUCCCGCGUGAAGGACGACUGCCCUAUGGGUUGUAAACUUCUUUUGUAUAGGGAUAAACCUACCCUCGUGGGGGUAGCUGAAGGUACUAUACGAAUAAGCACCGGCUAACUCCGUGCCAGCAGCCGCGGUAAUACGGAGGGUGCAAGCGUUACCCGGAUUUAUUGGGGUUAAAGGGUCCGUAAGCGGACUUAUAAGUCAGUGGUGAAAGCCUGUCGCUUAACGAUAGAACUGCCAUUGAUACUGUAAGUCUUGAGUAUUAUUUGAGGUAGCUGGGAUAAGUAGUGUAGCGGGGAAAAUGCAUAGAUAUUACUUAGAACACCCAUUUGGGAAGGCAGGUUACCCAAGAUAUAACUGACGCUGAGGGACGAAAGCGUGGGGAGCGAACAGGAUUAGAUACCCUGGUAGUCCACGCCGUAAACGAUGCUAACUCGUUUUUGGGCUUUAGGGUUCAGAGACCAAGCGAAAGUGAUAAGUUAGCCACCUGGGGAGUACGCUCGCAAGAGUGAAACUCGAAGGAAUUGACGGGGGCCCGCACAAGCGGUGGAUUAUGUGGUUUAAUUCGAUGAUACGCGAGGAACCUUACCAAGACUUAAAUGGGAAUUGACAGCUUUAGAAAUAGAGCUUUCUUCGGACAAUUUUCAAGGUGCUGCAUGGUUGUCGUCAGCUCGUGCCGUGAGGUGUUAGGUUAAGUCCUGCAACGAGCGCAACCCCUGUCACUAGUUGCCAUCAUUCAGUUGGGGACUCUAGUGAGACUGCCUACGCAAGUAGAGAGGAAGGUGGGGAUGACGUCAAAUCAUCACGGCCCUUACGUCUUGGGCCACACACGUAAUACAAUGGCCGGUACAGAGGGCAGCUACACAGCGAUGUGAUGCAAAUCUCGAAAGCCGGUCUCAGUUCGGAUUGGAGUCUGCAACUCGACUCUAUGAAGCUGGAAUCGCUAGUAAUCGCGCAUCAGCCAUGGCGCGGUGAAUACGUUCCCGGGCCU
Molecule: ribosomal RNA, 1349 nt
Filed under: uncultured bacterium
Lineage: Bacteria
Description: bacterial SSU rRNA
Rfam family: Bacterial small subunit ribosomal RNA
Source: RNAcentral